RNAcentral lists this long non-coding RNA (757 nucleotides) under Cottoperca gobio. RNAcentral's name for it is "lncRNA (ENSCGOG00000004720.1)". The record is from RNAcentral. Lineage: Eukaryota; Metazoa; Chordata; Actinopteri; Perciformes; Bovichtidae.
AAAGGUUUCACUGAAACUUUCUGCUGGCUGUUGCAGAAAUGUUGUCAACAAGGUGAAUGACCUGAUCAAGGACAUUACAGAGGAGCACGACCUGACUCAAGACAUGUCAGACACGCUCCACACAUCUGUGAGCUUUGGAGUGGAAUUUGAUGAGGAUGAGCUGCUGGCAGAGCUGGAGUGGCUGGAGAAGAAUUUGGAUGAGAGUCUCUUUGAGAAGAACAGAAUGGAGCAGAGAGUCCUCUGUCCCAAAGUGUUGUCCACUGCAUCACCUUCCCAAACUGCCAAGACGGAGGAAGAUGACAUUGAAGAUGAUUUAGAGUAUCUGAGGCACUGGGCGAGCGUAUCCUCAUAGACACACCAUCAGCCAAAAAAACACGGUCAUUAAGAGGAAAAGUUGAAAUAAAUAAGCAGAAAUGUUACGUUGUUGUUCAUCAGUGUUUUAUGUUUAUGGGAAAGCAUUAAAUGUAAUGCCCCAGCUAUUACAGAAACUAAAUAAUUGAUAUUGUAGUAAAGUACUAUGGGCUCUGUAAUACAGUAUUAUUAUACACUACACUACACAUGGUGGAUCGCUUCUUGUCAGUUUGUGGGUUAAGUGAAGACAAAAUGUAAAACGUUCAUCAACAUAUUUCAUAUACAAGGAAUGUUUUGGUGUAUUGGUGCAUAGCAUAAACAUAGUAAGAGAAAAUAAAAAUUUAAAAAGCAAGUAUCAAGAGACAUAAAUUGAGUUGAAGAAAAUGACAAUGAAAAAUAUUUUUUG